RNAcentral lists this ribosomal RNA (207 nucleotides) under uncultured bacterium. Its description in RNAcentral is "partial 16S ribosomal RNA". It matches the Rfam family "Bacterial small subunit ribosomal RNA", at positions 568 to 774 of the family's 1533-position model. The record is from RNAcentral.
UGCGUAGGUGGCAGUGCAAGUCAGAUGUGAAAGGCCGGGGCUCAACCCCGGAGCUGCAUUUGAAACUGCAUAGCUGGAGUACAGGAGAGGCAGGCGGAAUUCCUAGUGUAGCGGUGAAAUGCGUAGAUAUUAGGAGGAACACCAGUGGCGAAGGCGGCCUGCUGGACUGUUACUGACACUGAGGCACGAAAGCGUGGGGAGCAAACA